This 164-nucleotide ribosomal RNA is filed under the name uncultured bacterium. RNAcentral describes it as "partial 16S rRNA". It matches the Rfam family "Bacterial small subunit ribosomal RNA", at positions 355 to 511 of the family's 1533-position model. The record is from RNAcentral.
UAGGGAAUCUUCCACAAUGGACGAAAGUCUGAUGGAGCAACGCCGCGUGAGUGAAGAAGGUUUUCGGAUCGUAAAGCUCUGUUGUUGGUGAAGAAGGAUAGAGGCAGUAACUGGUCUUUAUUUGACGGUAAUCAACCAGAAAGGGACGGCUAACUACGUGCCAG